UUUCCGUAGGUGAACCUGCGGAAGGAUCAUUAAAAAAUUGGGUGACUGUAAUUUAGGUUAACCCAUUAAUAAUAUCCUACCCUUUGUGAAUUGUUUGUUAUGUAAAUUUUUGUCUAUCCCUAAAGAAAGGUUGGAUAAGUGUAAUAGCUUAAAAAACUUUUUUUUAGGAAUGGCUUAAAGACUUUUAUUUAAAAUUAAACUUUUUGUAUUCAUUUGUCUAAAAUAAAUUUUUAAAUAAAUAAUUUAAAAACACUUUUGACAAUGGAUCCUUGGUUCUCGCACGAUGAAGAACGCAGCAAAAUGCGAUAAGUAAUUGAUUGCAGAAUACGUGAAUCAUCAAAUCUUUCGAACGCAUAUGCACUUUUUUAGUUUACUAAAAAAGUAUGUCUGUUUGAGUAUCAGUAAAAUAUUCUCAUAAAAUCAUUGAUUUUAUGGUUAUGAGUGUUUUACAACGAUAAACAAGUUGUUUCACUUUAAAUGGAUUUUAAUUGAAAUCGUCGGUUGGGAACGAUUUUAAAUUUUUUUAAAAAAUUGGAUAAAAUUUUCCCGUAAAAAGGAAUAAAGCUAUUUCAGUUUUUUAGAAAUUUUAAUAGUUUCCAUACCGUACAGUUAAGGAAAUUUAUUUAUAAUAACUUGAUCUCAAAUCAGAUAAGAGUACCCGCUGAACUUAAGCAUAUCAAUAAGCGGAGGAAAAGAAACUAACAAGGAUUCCUUAGUAACGGCGAGUGAAGCGGAAGAGCUCAAAUUUGAAAUCUUCAAGUUCUACCUUGACGAAUUGUAGUUUAAAGAAGUGUUUUCUGUUAGAGGAUGGCAAAAGUUCUUUGGAAUAGGACAUCAUAGAGGUGAGAAUCCCGUAUUUGGUCAUUCUUCUAGCUGUGUGAUACACUUUCAAAGAGUCGGAUUGUUUGGAAUGCAGUCCAAAAUGGUGUAAAUUUCAUCUAAAGCUAAAUAUUGGCGAGAGACCGAUAGCGAACAAGUACCGUGAGGGAAAGAUGAAAAGAACUUUGAAAAGAGAGUUAAACAGUACGUGAAUUGUCAAAGGAAGCGUUUGACACCAGUGUUGUUUUUCCGAAAAUCAAUUGUGCCUGGCUGAUUUUGUAGGAGUUUGACCUUAUCAGCUUCUUCUGCUUUUUUCCGUCUGGUGCAAUGCACUUUUCGGUUAACAAGUCAACAUCAAUUUCUUUUGUUGUAAAAGGGUAAUUGGAAGGUGGCUUUCUUUUCGGAGAAAGUUUUAUAGCUUUUACCUCUACAAUCGAGAGAUUGAGUCUGCAGCGUAGAUCCUCGGGGUUAGAUACAUUGUGCUAAGUUAUAGCCCUGUAUAGACAACUUGUUGACUAUACUCGGUCAUGUAGCUUACUCGCUUAUGCUAUUUUACCUACGCUUAGGAUGUUG
This 1392-nucleotide unclassified non-coding RNA is filed under the name uncultured Neocallimastigales. Its description in RNAcentral is "partial contains small subunit ribosomal RNA, internal transcribed spacer 1, 5.8S ribosomal RNA, internal transcribed spacer 2, and large subunit ribosomal RNA". The stretch from base 635 to 1392 matches the Rfam family "Eukaryotic large subunit ribosomal RNA", at positions 1 to 628 of the family's 3401-position model. The record is from RNAcentral. Lineage: Eukaryota; Fungi; Neocallimastigomycota; Neocallimastigomycetes; Neocallimastigales.